AGGGGGGGACAGCUACAGACUCUGUCCCACCCACAGAAACCGCCCUCUUCAUACAAGGACACAGAUGAACAGCCUGACAGCCUGCCUGGAAAUGUAAAUUCACAAACUGUCAGACAGCUAUAUGCUACUCAUCUGAGGAAGCAAAUAGCCCUGGCAGAUGUCAAGCUCCAGUGUGAGAAGAGAAAGCUGCAGGACAUGGAGCUUGACAGACAAAUUAAAAGGAAAAACCUUAAGGAAACUGGACUUGGAAAUUAAGAAACUACAGAAAGAAGUAAGUGACUUUAAUGCACAUUGUAAGCAUGACUGUGAUGCAAUGUAUUAAUCAAUAUUAUUUCUCUCUUUCUCUCCACAGCUCAAAGCAGACAGUGACUGAUUUUAGUAUUUUUCAUUUAAA
Epinephelus moara (kelp grouper) is the source of this 394-nucleotide long non-coding RNA. RefSeq lists it as uncharacterized. Lineage: Eukaryota; Metazoa; Chordata; Actinopteri; Perciformes; Serranidae. The transcript is spliced from 3 exons. The record is from RefSeq and is a predicted model, not a curated record.